This 1082-nucleotide long non-coding RNA is filed under the name Junco hyemalis (dark-eyed junco). Its description in RNAcentral is "lncRNA (ENSJHYG00000005395.1)". The record is from RNAcentral. Lineage: Eukaryota; Metazoa; Chordata; Aves; Passeriformes; Passerellidae.
AUGAAAAACUCCAAGAUUUGGAAAAAUCUAGGAAAAAUCUCCAGGAUUUGGAAAAAUCUGGAAAAAACACCAGGAAAGUUCCAGGAUUUGCAGAAAUCUUGGAAAAUCUCCAGGAUUUGGAAAACUUUGGGAAAAAUCUCCAAUAAAGUUCCAGGAUUUGGGAAAUUCUGGGAAAAAUCUCCAGGGUUUGGAAAGAUCCAGGAAAAAGCUCCAGGAAAGUUCCAGAAUUUGGAAAAACCUGGGAAAAAUCUCCCGGAAAGUUCAAGGAAUUGGAGAAAUCUGGGAAAAAUCUCCAGGAUUUGGAAAAAUUUGGGAAAAAUCUCCAAGAAAUUCCCAGGAUUUGGGAAAAAUCUGGGGGAAAACUUCAGGAAAAUUCCAGGAACUGGAGAGUUGUGGGGAAAAAACUCCAGGAUUUGGGAAAUUCUGGGAAAAAUCUCCAGGAUUUGGAAAGAUCCAGGAAAAAGCUCCAGGAAAGUUCCAGAAUUUGGAGAAAUCUUGGAAAAUCUGCAGGAUUUGGAAAAACCUGGGAAAAAUCUCCCGGAAAGUUCAAGGAAUUGGAGAGAUCUGGGAAAAAUCUCCAGGAUUUGGAAAGAUCCAGGAAAAAAACUCCAGAAAAUUCCAGGAUUUGUGAAAAAUCCAGGAACAUUUCUUGCUUCUUUUUUAUCAGGAAUUUCCCUUUUCCAGGUUUUUUUGGGGCAUCUCCUUCCUAAUUUUCCUCCAGGAAAAGGAGCAGGAAUUCAGGGAAAUUUGGGAAAAAUCCCUCCCAGCCUUAAAUCUUUGAGUUCCAGCUGGAAAAGGAGGGAAAAAUUCUGGGGAAAAAAACCAAAUCCAAGGGAAUUCCCAAGGAAUGGAGGAUUUGGGAUUCCUGGGAAAGGAGCUUUUGGAAUAAUUCCAGGUGGUCUCAAAUCCAAGGGAAAUAAAGGAUUUUAUUUGGAUGUAGGAAAGGAGGAGCUGCCAGAGGUUCUGUGGGAUUUUGGGGGAAGGAAUUCCCGAAUUUGGGAUGGAAUUCCAUGGGGUGGGCGGGGUUUGGGGUUGUUCCUAAGGAAAAGCAACACGGAAUUCCAGGGGAUCCCGUUUUUCCA